Molecule: long non-coding RNA, 773 nt
Filed under: Homo sapiens (human)
Lineage: Eukaryota; Metazoa; Chordata; Mammalia; Primates; Hominidae
Description: HSALNT0102749
Source: RNAcentral
AAAGAUUCUCCUCCCUGUUCUAUAGAUUGAAUAGAAUGACAGAGAAGAAAAAAUGGUGACAGGUGGAGGAAGAAAUGAGGCCUUCAAUUCAACCUUACAAGCAAGCACUCACACAACCCUGUGUAAGAUGUCACCACCUUUGCAUAAUGUAAAGACUGCAACAAAGUGAUGGAGGUGAAACCAACACAAUAAGUCACCUCAUCAAAAAAGAAAAAAAGAGCUUCCUAUCAAAUACUCUUUUCCCUCCCACUUCAGCUGGGGAGGAACAGAAUGUUUGAAACACAUUUUCUUUAGACACCUAGCAGGAUAUAACCCAUGAUAUCUAAUAUACAUUUAAAAUAAUAGAGAUAUAAGCCAUAGUAACUUAUGUAUGAUUCAAAUUUCCCACCCCACUCCACCGCCUUUUUUUAAGGUCGAACAACCUGACUAAACUUCAAGGGCAGCACGUUUUACUAAUCCCCAGCUAACAGACCUGUGAGUUGUUUUUCUCUCCUCUGUCAGAAAUAUGUGGUGGUGGAUGGCUUAUCCAUCCAUGUGUGGUAGAUGGCUUAUCAAUAUCAUUCUGUGACAUAGCAAACAAUUAACCCUAUAAUUCAAGAAAAAAUCAUAGCAGGUAUUCAGUUGUACAAAAAAAGGUGCAAAAAUUGUAUAACUAUAAAACUGUAUAACUGCUGGCCUCAACUUAAAUACCAUGAAGGCAAUAAAACUCGAGCACCAGAAAACAAUGUGGCAUAGAGACUGGUAAAAUAAGAUAAAGGUUUCCAACAUUUCUG